RNAcentral lists this ribosomal RNA (460 nucleotides) under uncultured bacterium. Its description in RNAcentral is "partial 16S ribosomal RNA". It matches the Rfam family "Bacterial small subunit ribosomal RNA", at positions 338 to 795 of the family's 1533-position model. The record is from RNAcentral.
CCUACGGGUGGCAGCAGUGAGGAAUAUUGGUCAAUGGACGAGAGUCUGAACCAGCCAAGUAGCGUGAAGGAUGACUGCCCUAUGGGUUGUAAACUUCUUUUAUAUGGGAAUAAAAUGUUCCACGUGUGGGAUUUUGUAUGUACCCUAUGAAUAAGGAUCGGCUAACUCCGUGCCAGCAGCCGCGGUAAUACGGAGGAUCCGAGCGUUAUCCGGAUUUAUUGGGUUUAAAGGGAGCGUAGGCGGAUUGUUAAGUCAGUUGUGAAAGUUUGCGGCUCAACCGUAAAAUUGCAGUUGAAACUGGCAGGCUUGAGUACAGUAGAGGUGGGCGGAAUGCGUGGUGUAGCGGUGAAAUGCUUAGAUAUCACGAAGAACUCCGAUUGCGAAGGCAGCUCACUGGACUGCAACUGACACUGAGGCUCGAAAGUGUGGGUAUCAAACAGGAUUAGAUACCCGGGUAGUC